RNAcentral lists this ribosomal RNA (254 nucleotides) under uncultured bacterium. RNAcentral's name for it is "partial 16S ribosomal RNA". It matches the Rfam family "Bacterial small subunit ribosomal RNA", at positions 524 to 776 of the family's 1533-position model. The record is from RNAcentral.
UACGUAGGGGGCAAGCGUUGUCCGGAAUCAUUGGGCGUAAAGAGCGUGUAGGCGGUCCGGUAAGUCGGUUGUGAAAGUCCAGGGCUCAACCCUGGGAUGCCGACCGAUACUGUCGGACUAGAGUUCGGAAGAGGCGAGUGGAAUUCCCGGUGUAGCGGUGAAAUGCGCAGAUAUCGGGGAGGAACACCUAUGGCGAAGGCAGCUCGCUGGGACGUUACUGACGCUGAGACGCGAAAGCGUGGGGAGCAAACAGG